This 325-nucleotide ribosomal RNA is filed under the name uncultured eukaryote. RNAcentral describes it as "partial 18S ribosomal RNA". It matches the Rfam family "Eukaryotic small subunit ribosomal RNA", at positions 1470 to 1796 of the family's 1831-position model. The record is from RNAcentral.
CCCUUAGAUGUUCUGGGCCGCACGCGCGCUACACUGAUGCAUUCAACGAGCCUAUCCUUGACCGACAGGUCCGGGUAAUCUUUGAAUCUGCAUCGUGACGGGGAUAGAUUAUUGCAAUUAUUAAUCUUCAACGAGGAAUGCCUAGUAGGCGCAAGUCAUCAGCUUGCGUCGAUUACGUCCCUACCCUUUGUACACACCGCCCGUCGCUCCUACCGAUUGGGUGUGCUGGUGAAAUGUUCGGAUCGGCCGUUUGUCGCGGUUUCCGCGUCAUGUGGCUGAGAAGUUCAUUAAACCCUCCCACCUAGAGGAAGGAGAAGUCGUAACA